Molecule: small nuclear RNA, 171 nt
Organism: Erpetoichthys calabaricus (reedfish)
Lineage: Eukaryota; Metazoa; Chordata; Cladistia; Polypteriformes; Polypteridae
Gene: U2
Rfam family: U2 spliceosomal RNA
About the family: U2 is a small nuclear RNA (snRNA) component of the spliceosome (involved in pre-mRNA splicing). Complementary binding between U2 snRNA (in an area lying towards the 5' end but 3' to hairpin I) and the branchpoint sequence (BPS) of the intron results the bulging out of an unpaired adenosine, on the BPS, which initiates a nucleophilic attack at the intronic 5' splice site, thus starting the first of two transesterification reactions that mediate splicing.
Source: Ensembl
AAACCUUGCAAAAAAAAUCUGUUCUUAUCAGUUUGAUAUCUGAUACGUCCCCUAUCUGGGGUCCAUAUAUGUAAGUUGAUGUUUGGAACAAGGAGAUGGAAUAGGGGUUUGCUCUGUCCACUCCACUCAUCAACCUGAUAUUGUAGUACCUCCAGGAAUGGUGCACUUUCU